This is a small nucleolar RNA of Ornithorhynchus anatinus (platypus), 138 nucleotides long. The record is from RefSeq and is a predicted model, not a curated record. NCBI's taxonomy places the organism in Eukaryota, Metazoa, Chordata, Mammalia, Monotremata, Ornithorhynchidae.
CCCCUCUCAGGAUCACAUCUAGAGAGUUUCCAGUACCCUAAAAGUUAUGGCUAUGGGAGGGAGAGUCAAGCAGAGGCCUACCCGUUCCAUUCCUAGCUUGGGACGUGGCUAGCAAGUGGAAGGCAAUCUGCUACAAGU